UACGUAGGUGACAAGCGUUAUCCGGAUUUACUGGGCGUAAAGGGCGUGUAGGCGGUCUUGCAAGUCAGAAGUGAAAUUCCUGAGCUCAACUCGGGCGCUGCUUCUGAAACUGCAGGACUUGAGUGCUGGAGGGGAUAGCGGAAUUCCUAGUGGAGCGGUAAAAUGCGCAGAUAUUAGGAAGAACACCGGUGGCGAAGGCGGCUAUCUGGACAGUAACUGACGCUGAGGCGCGAAAGCGUGGGGAGCAAACAGGAUUAGAUCCCCUGGUAGUCCACGCCGUAAACGGUGAAUACUAGGUGUAGGGGGUAUCGACUCCCUCUGUGCCGCAGUUAACACAAUAAGUAUUCCGCCUGGGGAGUACGGCCGCAAGGUUGAAACUCAAAGGAAUUGACGGGG
This 396-nucleotide ribosomal RNA is filed under the name uncultured bacterium. RNAcentral's name for it is "partial 16S ribosomal RNA". It matches the Rfam family "Bacterial small subunit ribosomal RNA", at positions 524 to 918 of the family's 1533-position model. The record is from RNAcentral.